RNAcentral lists this long non-coding RNA (349 nucleotides) under Brassica napus (rape). Its description in RNAcentral is "long non-coding RNA (BNAP_LNC014356)". Lineage: Eukaryota; Viridiplantae; Streptophyta; Magnoliopsida; Brassicales; Brassicaceae. The record is from RNAcentral.
UUGUCUAUCAAAUUGGCCUGGGCUCCUAGUCCAGAGUUGUCAAUCUGUUUAACAAGAAGCAGGUUAAACUUGUGCCAUUAAUUGUAGUUGCCGAGGUGAAUUUUUAUCAAAUAGACAAAAAAAUAUGUAUAAUGUAAAGUGUGAAUAAUUGGACUUUGAUAAAAAAAAAUUAUUUGAGUGAAGAAAAAAAAAUAGUCAAAGGAACAAGAUGGGACUUCUGCUCGCAGUUGCAGUUUUUUUUGUUUCGGUGCCUCUUGGAGUAACUUGGAACUUCCCAAGUUUCUUGUUCCAUAAUCAUAUCAUUGUACUAGAAAUUACAUUUGUCUAAAUAGUAGGAUAAAGAUAACCA